UGAACACCAGCUAGCAUUUAUGAGAUUUCAAAAAUUAUAUAUGUUAUAGAAAGGUAGUGGCAAAAUCAUCAUAUAUGAGUAGAAAUUGCUAAUAGUUCAAACGUAAAGUACUUCCAAACAUACAUUCUUGAUUUAAAUUAAAAAAACCAUGCAUUUUAUUUUCCAAAAAAUGGCUUCAGAAUUCUAAAAUGUUCUGCUUACAGCAAUAGCAACGACGCAAAAAAAAAAUACAAACCAAGCUCACUAUAAUGUUUUAUUAUGAUGGGGAAAUGAAAGAGCCAUGAUUUUAAACUGGAAGUAAUAUCUAAACUACAAUCCAUUACUAAUAUAGCUUCUCCAUCACAUAAACCAUAAAAAAGUACAAUUAUAAAAAGGAAGGGGGAAACCCAAAAUCUAACAACAUUCAUCAUUAAAACCUAGAAAUCAAAAAGCAAACAAAACUCUUAUUGCGGAAGAGAAAUUGGAAAAGAAAAGUACCAAGGAGCACUCGUGCCAACUCAAUUUGCGGUGCUUUUUUUAUGUGAGGAGGAUUAAGCAAUGAAAAAGGGAAAGCUAUUUCUUUGAGAUUGUAUCAGACGUAGUCAUACAGCUUCCUGCACACAACUUUUACCUUCAUUUUAGGUUAAUAUAAGAGAUAACCAAUUUGAUUAAGCUAAUGAAUUAUCUUUGUUGUUUCACGAUUUAAAUAUUUAGAAGAAAGCAGGCUAUUAACAGG
Molecule: long non-coding RNA, 715 nt
Filed under: Gossypium barbadense (sea-island cotton)
Lineage: Eukaryota; Viridiplantae; Streptophyta; Magnoliopsida; Malvales; Malvaceae
Description: long non-coding RNA (GBAR_LNC022470)
Source: RNAcentral